GGGGAAUAUUGCACAAUGGGCGAAAGCCUGAUGCAGCGACGCCGCGUGGGGGAUGACGGUCUUCGGAUUGUAAACCCCUUUCAGUAGGGACGAAGCGCAAGUGACGGUACCUGCAGAAGAAGCACCGGCUAACUACGUGCCAGCAGCCGCGGUAAUACGUAGGGUGCGAGCGUUGUCCGGAAUUACUGGGCGUAAAGAGCUCGUAGGCGGUUUGUCACGUCGUCUGUGAAAUCCCUCGGCUUAACCGGGGGCGUGCAGGCGAUACGGGCAGACUUGAGUACUACAGGGGAGACUGGAAUUCCUGGUGUAGCGGUGAAAUGCGCAGAUAUCAGGAGGAACACCGGUGGCGAAGGCGGGUCUCUGGGUAGUAACUGACGCUGAGGAGCGAAAGCAUGGGUAGCGAAC
Molecule: ribosomal RNA, 405 nt
Filed under: uncultured bacterium
Lineage: Bacteria
Description: bacterial SSU rRNA
Rfam family: Bacterial small subunit ribosomal RNA
Source: RNAcentral